RNAcentral lists this ribosomal RNA (253 nucleotides) under uncultured bacterium. RNAcentral describes it as "partial 16S ribosomal RNA". It matches the Rfam family "Bacterial small subunit ribosomal RNA", at positions 524 to 776 of the family's 1533-position model. The record is from RNAcentral.
UACGAAGGGUGCAAGCGUUACUCGGAAUUACUGGGCGUAAAGCGUGCGUAGGUGGUUCGUUAAGUCUGAUGUGAAAGCCCUGGGCUCAACCUGGGAAUGGCAUUGGAAACUGGCGACCUAGAGUGCGGUAGAGGGUAGUGGAAUUCCCGGUGUAGCAGUGAAAUGCGUAGAGAUCGGGAGGAACAUCCGUGGCGAAGGCGACUACCUGGACCAGCACUGACACUGAGGCACGAAAGCGUGGCGAGCAAACAGG